RNAcentral lists this long non-coding RNA (1115 nucleotides) under Zonotrichia albicollis (white-throated sparrow). Its description in RNAcentral is "lncRNA (ENSZALG00000013649.1)". The record is from RNAcentral. Lineage: Eukaryota; Metazoa; Chordata; Aves; Passeriformes; Passerellidae.
CUCGGGGCUGUGGUGGUGAGGUUGCAGCCCAGCCAGCAUAAGGAAUUUCCUUUCUUCUGGCAGAAAAAGAAAGAUGAAAUAUUAAAAGCAUGGCUUAAAGGCUGCUGUAUAUAUAUAUAUAUCUACAAUCUUUUUUUUCCCUUCUGCUCAGCACUGCUUUGGUGUUGCUCAGAGACAGCAGCCAGUCAGAGCAGGAGAGAUGCCAGACUUCAGAAAAGAGCAGGGAGUGGGGCUGAAGCGAGGGAGAAAGAGGAGGAUUGUCUCAGGUGAGGGCAGUGCCCUCUGAAGCAGGAGGACACCUCCAUGUGUGCCACUGUCCUUGGAUGAGGGAGGAUGGCAGGAGAAGAGGGCCAAGGCAUCCCUGGAGAAGUCCUGCAAGCUCCCAGCUUGCCAUUUGUGCCAUCCUGGCAUUUCCCUGCUAUCUCCUGGUGCUGAAGGACAGCUCAAACGCCUCGUUAAUCACCGCUGAUGACGGAGCUGUGGCACUCAGGUCCUGCUGGCUGCUGCUUCCCCAGCCAGGGAUGUUUUGCCGAUGCUGCUCCCUGAAAACUCCAGCUGAAAACUGGGGGAAAACUGCCCCCCUCGGAGCUGUAGUUUGUGGAAGAUGUUCCUACUCUGUUCCAGUCUCUCAUUCCUGCUCAUAGGGCACACAGUGAGUUGUGCCCUUGCAAACCUGCAUCUUUUUACAGUACAUUUUUCCCUUCUCUGUGCUUGUCAAGAUCGAGGGCAGCUCCGUGGUGGGCUGAUCUGCUGCUGCAUUGAUCUGGCAAAGGCUGGGGGUGAAAGCCCCACAGCCUCCAGACGAGGCCAUAGAGCUUUCAGGAUGCAGUUUUUCCGAAUCUGUCCAUCACACAGCAAACAAACACCCCCAGCCUGGAGGCAGCUGGCUCGGGGGUGAGCAUCGAUCGCUGGCUGCUGGGUGAGACCCACCAGAACCCCACCGGUGUCAGGAGGCAGCUCCAGCCCUCCCAGCUCCCAAUCACAGGGCUGGGAAGGAAAGCCAGCCUUCUCAGGAAUCAAUCAUUUGACAUCUGCUGUCAGCCUUCUGACACCCAGCCCCGCCGGUGAGGACCCCAGCAGGAAGCCUGGUGGAUCUCAGCUUGUUUUGGUCUUAA